GCAGAGAUGCUUUGGUGCCUUCGGGAACUGUGAGACAGGUGCUGCAUGGCUGUCGUCAGCUCGUGUUGUGAAAUGUUGGGUUAAGUCCCGCAACGAGCGCAACCCUUAUCCUUUGUUGCCAGCGGUUAGGCCGGGAACUCAAAGGAGACUGCCAGUGAUAAACUGGAGGAAGGUGGGGAUGACGUCAAGUCAUCAUGGCCCUUACGACCAGGGCUACACACGUGCUACAAUGGCAUAUACAAAGAGAAGCGACCUCGCGAGAGCAAGCGGACCUCAUAAAGUAUGUCGUAGUCCGGAUUGGAGUCUGCAACUCGACUCCAUGAAGUCGGAAUCGCUAGUAAUCGUAGAUCAGAAUGCUACGGUGAAUACGUUCCCGGGCCUUGUACACACCGCCCGUCACACCAUGGGAGUGGGUUGCAAAAGAAGUAGGUAGCUUAACCUUCGGGAGGGCGCUUACCACUUUGUGAUUCAUGACUGGGGUGAAGUCGUAACAAGGUAACCGUAGGGGAACCUGCGGUUGGAUCACCUCCUUA
RNAcentral lists this ribosomal RNA (533 nucleotides) under Klebsiella pneumoniae. RNAcentral's name for it is "bacterial SSU rRNA". It matches the Rfam family "Bacterial small subunit ribosomal RNA", at positions 1000 to 1533 of the family's 1533-position model. Lineage: Bacteria; Pseudomonadati; Pseudomonadota; Gammaproteobacteria; Enterobacterales; Enterobacteriaceae. RNAcentral also lists the same sequence under 4 other names. The record is from RNAcentral.